AACGAACGCUGGCGGCAUGCCUAAUACAUGCAAGUCGAACGAGAUCUUCGGAUCUAGUGGCGCACGGGUGCGUAACGCGUAGGAAUCUGCCCUUGGGUUCGGAAUAACUUCUGGAAACGGAAGCUAAUACCGGAUGAUGACGUAAGUCCAAAGAUUUAUCGCACAAGGAUGAGCCCGCGUAGGAUUAGGUAGUUGGUGAGGUAAAGGCUCACCAAGCCGACGAUCCUUAGCUAGUCUGAGAGGAUGAUCAGCCACACUGGGACUGAGACACGGCCCAGACUCCUACGGGAGGCAGCAGUAGGGAAUAUUGGACGAUGGGCGAAAGCCUGAUCCAGCAAUGCCGCGUGAGUGAUGAAGGCCUUAGGGUUGUAAAGCUCUUUUACCCGGGAUGAUAGUGGCGGUACCGGGAGAAUAAGCUCGGGCUAACUGCGUG
This 433-nucleotide ribosomal RNA is filed under the name uncultured bacterium. RNAcentral's name for it is "partial 16S ribosomal RNA". It matches the Rfam family "Bacterial small subunit ribosomal RNA", at positions 29 to 507 of the family's 1533-position model. The record is from RNAcentral.